Molecule: long non-coding RNA, 701 nt
Organism: Columba livia (rock pigeon)
Lineage: Eukaryota; Metazoa; Chordata; Aves; Columbiformes; Columbidae
Exons: 3
Source: RefSeq, a predicted model, not a curated record
GGCGUCCGGGCCCCCCCCGGCGGCGCAGACAAUGGCGGCUUUGUUGGCGCAGCGGCUGGCGGGGGCCCAGCGCAUUCCUGGCCCCUGGCCCGGCCCCGCGGCCCCCCCCGCCCGGACGCCUGGGUCCCCCUGGGCGGCGGGGGUGGAGUGUGCCCGGACGCCUGGGUCCCGCAUGGGGCACCCAGACAGCGGGGUCCCCCCCUGGGCCACGGGUGCCACCGAGGUCCCCAAGGACAUUCACCCUGAACGACCCCGUGGGAACAAGGGGCCCUUCAGCGUGGGGACCCAGGCGUCCGGGGCCGCCCCUCCUCCCCGGGGUGCGACGGGGACCUCAGCGUCCGGGCUGGACCCAGGCGUCCGGGGGGGACCCAGGCGUCCGGACCUGACCCCGUGUCCCCCACAGACUCUGGACAAUCCGACAGCUCAAACCCCCAGGGCGACGCCGACAUCAAACCACUGCCCAACGGGCAUCUGACCUUCCAGGACUGUUUCGUGACAUCGGGCGUCUGGAACGUGACGGAGCUGGUGAGGGUGUCCCAGACCCCGGUGGCCACGGCCUCGGGCCCAAACUUCUCGCUGGCCGAUCUGGAGACCCCGGGCGGCUUCUACAACAUCAGCCCCGUGGCGCUGGGACGGGCGGCCGCUGGGACCCCCCCCCGACCGGGGUACGGACCCCCGAAGCCCCGGCCCCGGGUCCCUGG